AAUUAAAUCAGAACCAAGCUAUCCUCACGUGUUCAAAAUGCAGCCAUGUUUUCCACAUGCUCUUUAAGUUUCCAUCAGAAAUUAAAACUUAAAUGAAGAUCCCUCCAUCUGAGAGCCUCCCCUCCGCCGCGCCAGCGGCAGAGGUUCUCAUAAAAACCAAUCAAACACCCUCAUCUGUCCGAACUGACACGCUGAUCACCAAUAAACAAAUUGGUUAAGCUUCUGUUAGACUGUUCAUCAAUUUCAUGAAGGGAGCUAUUAGGAUUUAUUAACUUGGUUAAGCUUCUGUUAGAGGAUGAGUUGAAGUGUAACAAUCUUAGGUUCAAUUCUGUUAGCCUUCGAUUUAGUUAUGUGAUGUUUGCAGAAUGAAGUGACCUGUUAAUUAGCUUCUAUCCAAUUCAGUUAUGUCAUGUUAACUUGCCCCUUUUUUUCUGCUAUGCAUGAUGUAGCAGCUGGAUCUACUUGUGAUUUGCAGGGUUGUGACUUGAGAAAUUGGACAUGGUUUGCAUUGAUUAUAGUUAUGUUUGUAGGUUCCCUCAUUUGGAGCACAAGGAUUUCAUUGUCAAUGGUUAAAGACCCAUGGAACUUGUCCUUGCCUUGCUGUUGCUGGUUGGAUAUCAUGGAGAGGUCAUGGUUGGUGAGGUCAAGUUUAUAAACAAAGCCUUAUGGAAGUGCAAUGUGGAAUGCAUUAGGUAUAUCUUGUCAUGUAUGUAGAAUGUACUUGGGGCUUUUGUACAUGGAAUGUAAGAAUUUAUGUGGAAUGAUUUGUAACCUUGAAGAUGAAUUGUAUGAUAUGUUUGAAAGAUGAAAUGCAAUGUUGAAAUUUAAUUAUGCAUCUCA
Molecule: long non-coding RNA, 840 nt
Organism: Lathyrus oleraceus (garden pea)
Lineage: Eukaryota; Viridiplantae; Streptophyta; Magnoliopsida; Fabales; Fabaceae
Exons: 2
Source: RefSeq, a predicted model, not a curated record